GGUUUUUAGACCUUAUUAAAAAUCAAGCCUGCUCAAUGCUUAGUAAAUAGCCGCAGUAUUUUGACUGUGCAAAGGUAGCAUAAUCAUUUGUCUCUUGAUUGGGGACUGGAAUGAAAGGUUCAACUAAAUAUUCUUGUCUUAUAAUAAUAUUUUGAAAUUUAUAUUUUAGUAAAAAAGCUAAAAUUGUAUAUAGGGACGAGAAGACCCUAUCAAGUUUUACAAUCAAAGAUUUAUUUUCAAAUUAAACCAAAAAUUGUUUUGCUGGGGCAGCAAAUAAAAAUUUUUUAUUUAAAAAUUAUGAUUUAUAAAUCUUGAAAAACCAAAAAAUUUUUAAUUAAGAAUAAAUUACUGUAGGGAUAACAGCAUAAUUUUUUUAGAGAGCUCUCAUCAUCAAAAAAGUUUGUGACCUCGAUGUUGGAUUAAAAUUCCUAAUUCAUGCAAUAAUGAAAUAAGGAAGUCUGUUCGACUUUUAAAAUUUUCCA
This 482-nucleotide ribosomal RNA is filed under the name Thorellius cristimanus. Its description in RNAcentral is "partial 16S ribosomal RNA". It matches the Rfam family "Archaeal large subunit ribosomal RNA", at positions 1921 to 2669 of the family's 2987-position model. Lineage: Eukaryota; Metazoa; Arthropoda; Arachnida; Scorpiones; Vaejovidae. The record is from RNAcentral.